RNAcentral lists this transfer RNA (85 nucleotides) under Sulfuriroseicoccus oceanibius. RNAcentral describes it as "Verrucomicrobiales bacterium T37 tRNA-Tyr". It matches the Rfam family "tRNA". From Rfam's summary of the family: Transfer RNA (tRNA) molecules are approximately 80 nucleotides in length. Their secondary structure includes four short double-helical elements and three loops (D, anti-codon, and T loops). Further hydrogen bonds mediate the characteristic L-shaped molecular structure. tRNAs have two regions of fundamental functional importance: the anti-codon, which is responsible for specific mRNA codon recognition, and the 3' end, to which the tRNAs corresponding amino acid is attached (by aminoacyl-tRNA synthetases). tRNAs cope with the degeneracy of the genetic code in two manners: having more than one tRNA (with a specific anti-codon) for a particular amino acid; and 'wobble' base-pairing, i.e. permitting non-standard base-pairing at the 3rd anti-codon position. Lineage: Bacteria; Pseudomonadati; Verrucomicrobiota; Verrucomicrobiia; Verrucomicrobiales; Verrucomicrobiaceae. The record is from RNAcentral.
GGGUAGGUUCCGGAGCGGUCAAACGGGGCAGACUGUAAAUCUGCUGGCUAUGCCUUCAGAGGUUCGAAUCCUCUCCUGCCCACCA